CCUACGGGUGGCAGCAGUGAGGAAUAUUGGUCAAUGGCCGGAAGGCUGAACCAGCCAUGCCGCGUGAAGGUCAGUGCCCUAUGGGCGUUAAACUUCUUUUGUGCGGGAGCAAUAAUGGUCACGUGUGGCCAGACGAGAGUACCGUACGAAUAAGCAUCGGCAAACUCCGUGCCAGCAGCCGCGGUAAUACGGGGGAUGCAAGCGUUAUCCGGAUUUAUUGGGUUUAAAGGGUGCGUAGGCUGUGAGGUAAGUCAGCGGUGAAAUGCCCCCGGUCAACGGGGUGAAGUGCCAUUGAUACUGCCUGGCUGGAAUGCGGAUGCCGUGGGAGGAAUGUGUGGUGUAGCGGUGAAAUGCAUAGAUAUCACACAGAACACCGAUUGCGAAGGCAUCUCACGAAUCCGCGAUUGACGCUGAUGCACGAAAGCGUGGGUAUCAAACAGGAUUAGAUACCCGUGUAGUC
Molecule: ribosomal RNA, 460 nt
Filed under: uncultured bacterium
Lineage: Bacteria
Description: partial 16S ribosomal RNA
Rfam family: Bacterial small subunit ribosomal RNA
Source: RNAcentral